This 404-nucleotide ribosomal RNA is filed under the name Actinomycetes bacterium. RNAcentral's name for it is "Actinobacteria bacterium partial 16S ribosomal RNA". It matches the Rfam family "Bacterial small subunit ribosomal RNA", at positions 355 to 776 of the family's 1533-position model. The record is from RNAcentral. Lineage: Bacteria; Bacillati; Actinomycetota; Actinomycetes.
UGGGGAAUAUUGGACAAUGGGCGCAAGCCUGAUCCAGCCAUGCCGCGUGUGUGAUGAAGGCUCUAGGGUUGUAAAGCUCUUUCACCGGUGAAGAUAAUGACGGUAAUUGGAGAAGAAGCCCCGGCUAACUUCGUGCCAGCAGCCGCGGUAAUACGAAGGGGGCUAGCGUUGUUCGGAUUUACUGGGCGUAAAGCGCACGUAGGCGGACUUUUAAGUCAGGGGUGAACUCCCGGGGCUCAACCCCGGAACUGCCUUUGAUACUGGAAGUCUUGAGUAUGGUAUAGGUGAGUUGAAUUCCGAGUGUAGAAGUGAAAUUCGUAGAUAUUCGGAGGAACACCAGUGGCGAAGACGGCUCACUAGACCAUUACUGACGCUGAGGUGCGAAAGCGUGGGGAGCAAACAGG